CCAAGAGGAAGACCGUCACCGCUAUGGA
RNAcentral lists this small RNA (28 nucleotides) under Bombyx mori (domestic silkworm). RNAcentral's name for it is "ovarian small RNA-13468". The record is from RNAcentral. Lineage: Eukaryota; Metazoa; Arthropoda; Insecta; Lepidoptera; Bombycidae.